GUCGGUUUUGAAAAAGUGCCCAAUUUCCUUGGUACAGGCCUCUCGAACAUGCCUAAUUUGCUCUAACAGGAUUGAUGACAUCACAUGUUGACUUUGCAUUGGGUGACCAAAUACAGUGUGCCCUAAAAGACAGGCACUUCUGGAGAUGGACCUCUUUAAAGUGGUUUUUGUUUCCCAAAUAUGUUUUUCCAUAGUUUUAUAGUAUUGAACAGGGCAUGACGUCUCA
Pelobates cultripes (western spadefoot toad) is the source of this 226-nucleotide non-coding RNA. NCBI's taxonomy places the organism in Eukaryota, Metazoa, Chordata, Amphibia, Anura, Pelobatidae. The record is from the annotation of a GenBank genome assembly.